Molecule: ribosomal RNA, 246 nt
Filed under: Bacillus anthracis (anthrax bacterium)
Lineage: Bacteria; Bacillati; Bacillota; Bacilli; Caryophanales; Bacillaceae
Description: partial 16S ribosomal RNA
Rfam family: Bacterial small subunit ribosomal RNA
Source: RNAcentral
CCUAGAGAUAGGGCUUCUCCUUCGGGAGCAGAGUGACAGGUGGUGCAUGGUUGUCGUCAGCUCGUGUCGUGAGAUGUUGGGUUAAGUCCCGCAACGAGCGCAACCCUUGAUCUUAGUUGCCAUCAUUAAGUUGGGCACUCUAAGGUGACUGCCGGUGACAAACCGGAGGAAGGUGGGGAUGACGUCAAAUCAUCAUGCCCCUUAUGACCUGGGCUACACACGUGCUACAAUGGACGGUACAAAGAG